Molecule: ribosomal RNA, 504 nt
Filed under: uncultured bacterium
Lineage: Bacteria
Description: bacterial SSU rRNA
Rfam family: Bacterial small subunit ribosomal RNA
Source: RNAcentral
GGGGGAUAACUAGCCGAAAGGUUAGCUAAUACCGCAUACGUCUAGGAUGGCAUCAUCCAAAGAUAAAAGCCGCAAGGCACUCGAGGAGGGGACCGCGUCCCAUUAGUUAGUUGGUGGGGUAACGGCCUACCAAGACUCCGAUGGGUAGCUGGUUUGAGAGAGCGACCAGCCACACUGGGACUGAGAAACGGCCCAGACUCCUACGGGAGGCAGCAGUGAGGAAUUUUCCGCAAUGGGCGAAAGCCUGACGGAGCGACGCCGGUGUGGGAACGAAGGCUUCGGGUCGUAAACCACUGUCGAAGGGGACGAUAUUGACGGUACCCUUGGAGGAAGCCCCGGCUAACUACGUGCCAGCAGCCGCGGUAAGACGUAGGGGGCAAGCGUUAUUCGGAAUUAUUGGGCGUAAAGCGUUCGUAGGCUGGACAGGAAGUCCGUGAAGAAACGACCUGGGCUCAAUCAGGGAACGGACGGACUACUCUCUGUUCUCUGAGACACUUCAGAAGG